RNAcentral lists this ribosomal RNA (453 nucleotides) under uncultured bacterium. RNAcentral's name for it is "bacterial SSU rRNA". It matches the Rfam family "Bacterial small subunit ribosomal RNA", at positions 10 to 507 of the family's 1533-position model. The record is from RNAcentral.
AGUUUGAUCAUGGCUCAGAACGAACGCUGGCGGCAGGCUUAACACAUGCAAGUCGAACGGGCGUAGCAAUACGUCAGUGGCAGACGGGUGAGUAACACGUGGGAACCUUCCUAGGGGUACGGAACAACUCAGGGAAACUUGAGCUAAUACCGUAUACGUCCGUGAGGAGGAAGAUUUAUCGCCCUUAGACGGGCCCGCGUCGGAUUAGCUAGUUGGUGGGGUAACGGCCUACCAAGGCGACGAUCCGUAGCUGAUCUGAGAGGAUGAUCAGCCACACUGGGACUGAGACACGGCCCAGACUCCUACGGGAGGCAGCAGUGGGGAAUCUUGGACAAUGGGCGCAAGCCUGAUCCAGCCAUGCCGCGUGAGUGAAGAAGGCCUUCGGGUUGUAAAGCUCUUUUGUCAGGGACGAUAAUGACGGUACCUGAAGAAUAAGCCCCGGCAAACUUCGUG